ACGGUCAUUAGCUCAGUUGGUAGAGCGCCAGUUUGUGGCACUGGUUGUCGCGAGUUCGAACCUCGUUUCCCGCUCCA
This 77-nucleotide transfer RNA is filed under the name Fusobacterium animalis. RNAcentral's name for it is "tRNA-His". The stretch from base 9 to 66 matches the Rfam family "tRNA", at positions 8 to 63 of the family's 71-position model. Rfam says of the family: Transfer RNA (tRNA) molecules are approximately 80 nucleotides in length. Their secondary structure includes four short double-helical elements and three loops (D, anti-codon, and T loops). Lineage: Bacteria; Fusobacteriati; Fusobacteriota; Fusobacteriia; Fusobacteriales; Fusobacteriaceae. The record is from RNAcentral.